Non-coding RNA from Odocoileus virginianus texanus, 392 nucleotides. The record is from RefSeq and is a predicted model, not a curated record. NCBI's taxonomy places the organism in Eukaryota, Metazoa, Chordata, Mammalia, Artiodactyla, Cervidae.
AUUGAGAAACAAAGGCUCUCUUAUCAUUUUUCUUCUUCUUUUUUCAAAAUAUAGCCCUGGGAGAAAGAUCCAGGUUAAUCCUUUCUUGACUGGAGGGCCCAGGACAUAAAGAGUCUAGAGUCAGUGGAACACGCAAAGCUCAUCCCCGCUGGCAAUGAGCUUUAGGGAGUCACUCAAGCCAGAAAAGGCAAUGGACUUCAAAUUCCGCUGUCUGUCCAGUUGAGAAGUAGCUGCCAUUUUGAACUAAAAAGAUAACUUUGAGGAUAAGAUCCACAUUCUGAGAUGAUGGAGCAAAAGGGGCACAAGACUAAGAAUCUGCAGUCUUUUAAAGCCCUUCCGACUAGAGAGGAAGACUCAAUUUGAUACUACUCAAUCAGUGAUCCAAUACUAAG